RNAcentral lists this ribosomal RNA (380 nucleotides) under uncultured eukaryote. RNAcentral's name for it is "partial 18S ribosomal RNA". It matches the Rfam family "Eukaryotic small subunit ribosomal RNA", at positions 592 to 976 of the family's 1831-position model. The record is from RNAcentral.
CAAUAGCGUAUAUUAAAGUUGUUGCGGUUAAAAAGCUCGUAGUUGGAUUUCUGCCGAGGACGACCGGUCCGCCCUCUGGGUGUGUAUCUGGUUUGGCCUGGGCAUCUUCUUGGAGAACGUAGCUGCACUUGACUGUGUGGUGCGGUGUCCAGGACUUUUACUUUGAGGAAAUUAGAGUGUUUCAAGCAGGCACACGCCUUGAAUACAUUAGCAUGGAAUAAUAAGAUAGGACCUCGGUUCUAUUUUGUUGGUUUCUAGAGCUGAGGUAAUGAUUAAUAGGGAUAGUUGGGGGUAUUCGUAUUCUAUUGCUAGAGGUGAAAUUCUUAAAUUUAUGGAAGACGAACUACUGCGAAAGCAUUUACCAAGGAUGUUUUCAUUAA